CUUAACAUGCAGUCGAACGGAGGAUGCGGGGAAGCUUGCUUUCCUGCAAACUUAGUGGCGGACGGGUGAGUAACGCGUGGAUAACCUGCCUGUAAGACUGGGAUAACACUGGGAAACCGGUGCUAAUACCGGAUGUGCUGUAGAGUGGGCAUCCACAUUACAGUGAAGGGACUUAGUACUCGCUUACAGAUGGAUCCGCGUCCCAUUAGCUAGCUGGUAGGGUAACGGCCUACCAGGGCGACGAUGGGUAGCCGGCCUGAGAGGGUGGUCGGCCACACUGGGACUGAGACACGGCCCAGACUCCUACGGGAGGCAGCAGUGGGGAAUCUUGCGCAAUGGGCGAAAGCCUGACGCAGCGACGCCGCGUGGGUGACGAAGGCCUUCGGGUCGUAAAACCCUGUUGCAGGGGACGAAGGAAGUGACGGUACCCUGCCAGAAAGCCCCGGCUAACUACGUGCCAGCAGCCGCGGUAAAACGUAGGGGGCGAGCGUUGUCCGGAAUUACUGGGCGUAAAGGGCUCGUAGGCGGUAUUCCAAGUCAGUUGUGAAAACCGACGGCUUAACCGGAGGAUUGCAGUUGAUACUGGGGUACUUGAGGCAAGGAGAGGAAGGUGGAGUUCCCGGUGUAGCGGUGAUAUGCGUAGAGAUCGGGAGGAACACCAGUGGCGAAGGCGGCCUUCUGGCCUUGACCUGACGCUGAGGAGCGAAAGCCAGGGUAGCAAACGGGAUUAGAUACCCCGG
RNAcentral lists this ribosomal RNA (740 nucleotides) under uncultured bacterium. Its description in RNAcentral is "bacterial SSU rRNA". It matches the Rfam family "Bacterial small subunit ribosomal RNA", at positions 47 to 790 of the family's 1533-position model. The record is from RNAcentral.